RNAcentral lists this ribosomal RNA (774 nucleotides) under uncultured Neocallimastigales. RNAcentral describes it as "partial large subunit ribosomal RNA". It matches the Rfam family "Eukaryotic large subunit ribosomal RNA", at positions 24 to 645 of the family's 3401-position model. Lineage: Eukaryota; Fungi; Neocallimastigomycota; Neocallimastigomycetes; Neocallimastigales. The record is from RNAcentral.
UAUGUGAUCGUCUCUCGCAUAUCAAUAAGCGGAGGAAAAGAAACUAACAAGGAUUCCCCUAGUAACGGCGAGUGAAGCGGGAAGAGCUCAAAUUUGAAAUCUUAAAGGGUUUCCCUUUACGAAUUGUAGUUUAAAGAAGUGUUUUCUGUUGAGGUUUUGGUAAAAGUUCUUUGGAAUAGGACAUCAUAGAGGGUGAGAAUCCCGUAUUUGACCUUUACUUUCAACUUUGUGAUACACUUCAAAGAGUCGGAUUGUUUGGGAAUGCAGUCCAAAAUGGGUGGUAAAUUUCAUCUAAAGCUAAAUAUUGGCGAGAGACCGAUAGCGAACAAGUACCGUGAGGGAAAGAUGAAAAGAACUUCGAAAAGAGAGUUAAACAGUACGUGAAAUUGUCAAAAGGGAAGCGUUUGACACCAGUGUUGUUUUUCUGAAAAUCAAUUAAAGAACUGUUUAUGCUAAGUUGUUUAGACUUUAUCAGCUAACUGUUUAGUUUUGAGCUUUUCUUUAAUGCACUUUUCAGUUAGCCAAGUCAACAUCAAUUUCUUUUGCUGUAAAAAAGCUUGAGGAAGGUGGCUUGAGAUUCGUCUUAAGUGUUUAUAGCCUCUUGCCUAUGCAGUCGGAGAGAUUGAGGUCUGCAGCGUAGAUCCUUCGGGGCUAAAUGCAUUUGUGCUAAGUUAUAACAUUUUAUAGACAACUUGUUGACUAUGAUUUGUCUUGUAGCUUACUCGCUUAUGUUAUUUUACCUACGCUUAGGAUGUUGAAGUCAUCGUAUCGCGC